Molecule: ribosomal RNA, 301 nt
Filed under: uncultured bacterium
Lineage: Bacteria
Description: partial 16S ribosomal RNA
Rfam family: Bacterial small subunit ribosomal RNA
Source: RNAcentral
CAGUCGCCACGGUAAUACGGAGGAUCCAAGCGUUAUCCGGAAUCAUUGGGUUUAAAGGGUCCGUAGGCGGUCUUGUAAGUCAGUGGUGAAAGCCCAUCGCUCAACGGUGGAACGGCCAUUGAUACUGCAGGACUUGAAUUAUUGGGAAGUAACUAGAAUAUGUAGUGUAGCGGUGAAAUGCUUAGAGAUUACAUGGAAUACCAAUUGCGAAGGCAGGUUACUACCAAUUGAUUGACGCUGAUGGACGAAAGCGUGGGUAGCGAACAGGAUUAGAUACCCCAGUAGUCCCUGUCUCUUAUAU